GCAAGUCUACUUGAACUUCUAGCUUGCUAGAAUGGAUGGUGGCGAACGGGUGAGUAACGCGUAGAUAAUCUGCCCUUUAGACUGGGAUAAGCUCGGGAAACUGAGUCUAAUACCGGAUAUAAUGUUUUCUUCGCAUGGAGAGGAUAUGAAAGAUCUCGAAUCACUAAAGGAUGAGUCUGCGUAGCAUUAGCUAGUUGGUGAGGUAACGGCUCACCAAGGCAUCGAUGCUUAGCUGGUCUGAGAGGAUGAUC
Molecule: ribosomal RNA, 251 nt
Filed under: uncultured bacterium
Lineage: Bacteria
Description: partial 16S ribosomal RNA
Rfam family: Bacterial small subunit ribosomal RNA
Source: RNAcentral